UUGAUUUAGCAAACCGAGCGUUUAGCGAGGUUUUGCGAUCGUUUAUUUAAAACCCACUCUUGAAUGUAAUAUUUAUACGUAUUCUUUGAAUGAUAAAAUUAAAGA
This 105-nucleotide unclassified non-coding RNA is filed under the name uncultured Glomeromycotina. RNAcentral describes it as "sequence contains ITS1". Lineage: Eukaryota; Fungi; Glomeromycota. The record is from RNAcentral.